GCUGGAUGUUAGUUCAGAGCAUGAGCAGCCCUGCAAGGUGGAACCAUGUAGCUUGCACUGUCACUGGGUCAUCAAAAGGUCAUGCACCCUUCAUCAAGCCAGCCACCUCUGGAGUGAAGAGAACAACCUAGGAGCAGAGAUUCCUGAACACAGGCGGUGGUCACUUCACUUCUUUGGCCAUGAAGGGAGUCCCCAGAGCAGAAGCAGAGCUGUGUGGACACCAUGACAAGGCAUCCGUGAGUAUAUGGGUGAAGUCUAUCUCUCCUGGACUCAGGCUAAAGGAUAUGAAUGCACCUCAGUCAUGAUCUCCAUUAUUAUCAGAUAUAGCCACAACAACCUAGUCGCUCCCCUGUCCAGCCCCUGCCCUGUAAUAUCUGCAGUGAAGCUUCUCUUGGCCUGGGAAGAACUUCUUCCAGGUGUCCUGACAGCUAAUUACUGCAGGUCCUCAAGUUUUUCCUCAAUUCUCAACUCCUUCAUGAUGCCCACACUACCAACCCCAGCACACAGCCCUCUUCCCUGCCUCCCACCAUGUGCUUGAUCACAUUCCCUAUAAUACUUGCCACCUCCUGCCAUGAACUCUGAUGUCCUCCAACUCUGCCCACUAGGACACCUGCUCCUCAGAGAGGACAAUUGUCUGAUUUCAUUUUGCUCCUGUUUCUCAGGUGCAGAAACAGUGUAACCUAUCUGACAUGCAGCAAGUGUCAAGUUGGAUGAAUGUUCACUUAGGAGUACCUCCCUCUUCUAGAGACACUAUCAUUAUUAAUGGAGUCUCAGGCCAAAGGCUGCUUGUGGCAGCUACAGCACAAUGUCCUCUCACACAGAAGUCCAGGCUGCCUGGGCUCUUCUUAUAAGAGCUGCUCUUCCUCUCUCCCUCCACCUACACCAGCCCUCCUGCACUCCACAGCACAUCAUUUCAUUUGCCCCUUUAGGAAGAAAAACCUCCCAAGCAAAUUUAAUUUUGGUGGAUUUAAUUUUCCACCAACUAUAAUUUAAAUGAGACUCAUGAGCUUAGACUAGAAUCAGCAGUAGGAUUAUUAGAGCUAAGAGGAGGUGGAGAACACAGAUGACUGAGGAAGAACAGAAACACAACAGGAACUUCUCAAGAUGAGAAAUUAUAGGACACCUUCUCUAUGCCUAUCCCAGAAUCUAGUUCAUUAAAAAAAUUGGAGAAAAGAUGGAAUGAGCAGGAAACAGACCUAGAAAAAGGCAAAAGCUAUAUGAAUCUGAAAAUUAAUCUCUUGAUACCACAGAAAUUCCUGUUCACAGGGGCCAAUGACAGACAGAACAUCUUCUCUUGCUGCUGUAAGAGAUAGGGACACACAGAGAAGGACAGAGCUCAGUCAGAAGGUCAAGAUUGGGCACAAUCCUCUGAAAAAAUAAAUAAAUGAACACAGCAAAUGAGAACCUAAGACUCAGGCCUGCACCUAGGCUGAUCUGGCCACACGAAGCCCCACUUAAGGUCUUGAACAUGGGCAAUGUCUGAAGCCCCAUGAUCACAAGUCCAGGAGUUCAAGGCUGUACUGAGAGACAAAGGAUCAGCAAUGAUGACUAAGCUGAAGAGUCAAAACCACAUCAAAGCCCACAGAGACUGAGCACUGCCUGGCUGCAACCCUGCCCACACGCAGCUCCUCACAGCCUUCUCCUGUGCCCACUGCAGCAGAUUCAGCACAGCAAACACCUGGAUUCUGGGAGGUUCUCAGAUCUCUGUUUGUUUUCUCUCACAAAUCGUGGAAUCUUGUGCCACUUGAAUAUAUAUGCAGUGGAAUAUUACUCAGCCACAAAGAAUAAUGAUUUUAUGACAUUUGUUGGUAAAUGGAUGGAACUGGAGAUUAUCAUGAAGUGAAAUAAGCCAGUCUCAAAAACCAAAUGCCGAAUGUUCUCUCUGAUGUGCAAAUGCUAACACACAACAAGGGGGCUGGGAGGAAAAAAUAUAAGUUCACUGGAUUAAACAAAGGGGAAUGAAG
RNAcentral lists this long non-coding RNA (1964 nucleotides) under Marmota monax (woodchuck). The record is from RNAcentral. Lineage: Eukaryota; Metazoa; Chordata; Mammalia; Rodentia; Sciuridae.